Molecule: non-coding RNA, 364 nt
Organism: Cyanistes caeruleus (blue tit)
Lineage: Eukaryota; Metazoa; Chordata; Aves; Passeriformes; Paridae
Source: RefSeq, a predicted model, not a curated record
UGGCCCCAAAGUUGGGCUCCCAUUAGGGUGGGUAGGACAGUAUCUAGAGACAUUGAAGUGAUAAUAAUAACUGAUUUGUGGCCUUAUCAACAGCCCCGGGCUGCAGUGAGAAGCAGGAGCAGCUUUCAGCCACCAGUAGUGGGAAGCUGAGGAGCUGGAACUGAGGAAGCAGAGCUGGAGCAGACAGAAACAUGGUGAUUUCCAGGAGCAAACAAAAGGCGAUAGUCAAGGUGCUAGUGAACUGGUGUUAAAAGACAAAUUCUUCAUUGUCAAUCCAGCUACCAUCCUUGUUCAGUUAAACUCUGCAACAGAUCUCCCACAAAGUUGUGUCCUGCUGUUGCUGCUUCUGAAGGAUCAUGGAAUC